Molecule: ribosomal RNA, 1138 nt
Filed under: Escherichia coli
Lineage: Bacteria; Pseudomonadati; Pseudomonadota; Gammaproteobacteria; Enterobacterales; Enterobacteriaceae
Description: partial 23S ribosomal RNA
Rfam family: Bacterial large subunit ribosomal RNA
Source: RNAcentral
GCGUACACGGUGGAUGCCCUGGCAGUCAGAGGCGAUGAAGGACGUGCUAAUCUGCGAUAAGCGUCGGUAAGGUGAUAUGAACCGUUAUAACCGGCGAUUUCCGAAUGGGGAAACCCAGUGUGUUUCGACACACUAUCAUUAACUGAAUCCAUAGGUUAAUGAGGCGAACCGGGGGAACUGAAACAUCUAAGUACCCCGAGGAAAAGAAAUCAACCGAGAUUCCCCCAGUAGCGGCGAGCGAACGGGGAGCAGCCCAGAGCCUGAAUCAGUAUGUGUGUUAGUGGAAGCGUCUGGAAAGGCGCGCGAUACAGGGUGACAGCCCCGUACACAAAAAUGCACAUGCUGUGAGCUCGAUGAGUAGGGCGGGACACGUGGUAUCCUGUCUGAAUAUGGGGGGACCAUCCUCCAAGGCUAAAUACUCCUGACUGACCGAUAGUGAACCAGUACCGUGAGGGAAAGGCGAAAAGAACCCCGGCGAGGGGAGUGAAAAAGAACCUGAAACCGUGUACGUACAAGCAGUGGGAGCACGCUUAGGCGUGUGACUGCGUACCUUUUGUAUAAUGGGUCAGCGACUUAUAUUCUGUAGCAAGGUUAACCGAAUAGGGGAGCCGAAGGGAAACCGAGUCUUAACUGGGCGUUAAGUUGCAGGGUAUAGACCCGAAACCCGGUGAUCUAGCCAUGGGCAGGUUGAAGGUUGGGUAACACUAACUGGAGGACCGAACCGACUAAUGUUGAAAAAUUAGCGGAUGACUUGUGGCUGGGGGUGAAAGGCCAAUCAAACCGGGAGAUAGCUGGUUCUCCCCGAAAGCUAUUUAGGUAGCGCCUCGUGAAUUCAUCUCCGGGGGUAGAGCACUGUUUCGGCAAGGGGGUCAUCCCGACUUACCAACCCGAUGCAAACUGCGAAUACCGGAGAAUGUUAUCACGGGAGACACACGGCGGGUGCUAACGUCCGUCGUGAAGAGGGAAACAACCCAGACCGCCAGCUAAGGUCCCAAAGUCAUGGUUAAGUGGGAAACGAUGUGGGAAGGCCCAGACAGCCAGGAUGUUGGCUUAGAAGCAGCCAUCAUUUAAAGAAAGCGUAAUAGCUCACUGGUCGAGUCGGCCUGCGCGGAAGAUGUAACGGGGCUAAACCAUGCAC